RNAcentral lists this ribosomal RNA (450 nucleotides) under uncultured bacterium. RNAcentral describes it as "bacterial SSU rRNA". It matches the Rfam family "Bacterial small subunit ribosomal RNA", at positions 45 to 494 of the family's 1533-position model. The record is from RNAcentral.
GGCCUAACACAUGCAAGUCGAGGGGUAGAGUUAGCUUGCUAACUUGAGACCGGCGCACGGGUGCGUAACGCGUAUGCAACCUACCUUUAUCUGGGGGAUAGCCCGAAGAAAUUCGGAUUAACACCGCAUAAAAUCACAGUAUCGCAUGAUACAAUGAUCAAAUAUUUAUAGGAUAAAGAUGGGCAUGCGUGUCAUUAGUUAGUUGGCGGGGUAACGGCCCACCAAGACCACGAUGACUAGGGGAUCUGAGAGGAUGACCCCCCACACUGGUACUGAGACACGGACCAGACUCCUACGGGAGGCAGCAGUAAGGAAUAUUGGUCAAUGGAGGCAACUCUGAACCAGCCAUGCCGCGUGCAGGAAGACGGCCCUCUGGGUUGUAAACUGCUUUUAUUCGGGAAUAAACCUAUCUACGUGUAGAUAGCUGAAUGUACCGAAGGAAUAAGGAUC